GGACAGUGUCUGGUGGGUAGUUUGACUGGGGCGGUCUCCUCCUAAAGCGUAACGGAGGAGCACGAAGGUUGGCUAAUCCUGGUCGGACAUCAGGAGGUUAGUGCAAUGGCAUAAGCCAGCUUGACUGCGAGCGUGACGGCGCGAGCAGGUGCGAAAGCAGGUCAUAGUGAUCCGGUGGUUCUGAAUGGAAGGGCCAUCGCUCAACGGAUAAAAGGUACUCCGGGGAUAACAGGCUGAUACCGCCCAAGAGUUCAUAUCGACGGCGGUGUUUGGCACCUCGAUGUCGGCUCAUCACAUCCUGGGGCUGAAGUAGGUCCCAAGGGUAUGGCUGUUCGCCAUUUAAAGUGGUACGCGAGCUGGGUUUAGAACGUCGUGAGACAGUUCGGUCCCUAUCUGCCGUGGGCGCUGGAGAACUGAGGGGGGCUGCUCCUAGUACGAGAGGACCGGAGUGGACGCAUCACUGGUGUUCGGGUUGUCAUGCCAAUGGCACUGCCCGGUAGCUAAAUGCGGAAGAGAUAAGUGCUGAAAGCAUCUAAGCACGAAACUUGCCCCGAGAUGAGUUCUCCCUGAGACUACAAGUCUCCUGAAGGAACGUUGAAG
This 600-nucleotide ribosomal RNA is filed under the name Salmonella enterica. Its description in RNAcentral is "partial 23S ribosomal RNA". It matches the Rfam family "Bacterial large subunit ribosomal RNA", at positions 2249 to 2843 of the family's 2925-position model. The record is from RNAcentral. RNAcentral also lists the same sequence under 1 other name. Lineage: Bacteria; Pseudomonadati; Pseudomonadota; Gammaproteobacteria; Enterobacterales; Enterobacteriaceae.